RNAcentral lists this ribosomal RNA (813 nucleotides) under Triticum aestivum (bread wheat). RNAcentral describes it as "partial small subunit ribosomal RNA". The record is from RNAcentral. Lineage: Eukaryota; Viridiplantae; Streptophyta; Magnoliopsida; Poales; Poaceae.
AUGUUAUGGACCUAUUCUAAUGCUAGGGGACAGAAGCAUCCUAUAUCUGUGAUCACGGAUGGGGACCUUGCAAUGAAGAGAGCAAUCAGGGUGGUGUGGCCCGACUCAAACCAUAGGCUCUGUAUAUGGCACAUUCAGCAGAACAUUGUACGCCAUCUGCAUGAUGACGCAGUAAAGGAGGAAUUCAGAUCUUUUAUAUACGAUACAUCUUCCAUUGAAGAGCAUGAGAGAAAAUGGUUACACUUCUUACAACGGAAUAAAGUAACAAGUGAGGACUCCUGGCUGCAUCUGAUGUAUAAGAUGAGAAAACUAUGGUGUGCUCCAUAUCUUGAGGGCCGUUGUUUCCUAGGAUUGAGCAGCAAUCAGCGGAGUGAGAGUUUAAACUCGGUGCUACAUACGCAUCUUGAGGCUAAGAUGAUGUUGUUUCAAAUGCUAGAGCACUAUGAGCAUUGCCUUGCGUCGCGACGCUUGAACGAGGCUCUCCAAGACGUCGAGGCCUUGCAGUCCGUUCCGUUCACACAGGAAAAUGCUUUAGUUCUUGAGAAACACGCCGCCAAAGUUUUCACUCCUUUUGUGUUUAAGUUGGUCUUAUGGAGCAUAGAUGCUGUCAAAAAAUGUGAGAUGAGAGAGGUACUUGAUGCAGUAGAGGUUACCACAUACGUUGUGUCUAAGAAGGAAAGAAUGGGUAAAAAGAUCGAAGUGCGCAUGGAGUCGAAGGAAGGUCUGCUUCACAGUAUCAGUUGUUCUUGCCGCAAAUUGGAAUGCGCAGGCACACCAUGUUCCCACAUAUUUUACAUAUUGGAAAUUUUAUAA